UUUGCCUCAUCUUUGCAUUUCUCCUAUUAUCUUUUGCUGCCCUUUCUGCAUUUUUAGCAAAAUACACAUCAAUAGGCCCCUUCGUCCUAGGCUUCUUUCUCAUAUUUGAGCCUCAUAUGCUUCCACCAAUUUCAUCUUCAUCAUAAUCAUGACCAAGCCUUUCAACAUCUUAAAAAUCUGGUAAAGAACUUUUAUCAGUCUUUUGCUGCAGCCUUUUGUUUCAUAUGUUCUUGCAUUUCUGCACGUACAUGAGCUGGACAUUUCCUAUACAUGGUGACAUUUCGACAUCCCUCAACUAAGUGCUGCUUAGCUCAGUAUAUUCCUCCCUUUGUAGCUUAAUUCACAAAAGUUACAAACUAGAUCAUUUGUUUGUAGUGGCUUCAACAUGCAUGUAUAUAUUUCCAUGUGGGAUCUUUUUUAGGAUUUUCAUCUUUAGAGCCACCAGUAGCAGCAUCACAGUAUACUUGGGCAUCCAUCUCUAUCAAUGGCUCUAGGAUAGGCAUGCAAUUAAUUACUAAAUUACAAUAUUCAUAGACUAAAAAGAACAAAAAAAGAAUAAACACAUCACUAAAACAAUAAAAAAAUGGCAAGAACAAAUAAUAAUAAACACAUCCAAAUAUUUUCUUUUAGCAAAUAAGUUUUCUAAUAGCAAUUUACCAACAUAUUCAACUAAUUAAGCAUUAACAAUUUAACAUAAUAUCUUAAUACCUUUAAGAACUAGGAAACAACAAAAUUUAGUCAAGACUCAAGAUUCAAGGGAGAAGAUUUAGAGAGAAUUAGAGAAGAGAGAAAUGUAAUUCUUUGUAUUGAUUCUUGGAAGGCCUUACAAGAUAGCGUCUGCUGAGAUUUAUAGCUCUUAGUAACUGCCCUAAUAGAAUCAGCUACAGUUGUCACAGAAUCAGCUACUACUGAUAACUUCUUUCAACUACUCAACAACCACAGACCACCCCAACUAUUUUAUUCAGAAAAGGAGGAACACUCUUCAAGUCUGGAUACUGAUAAAUAUUGUUCUCAUGAUCCUCUUAACUUAGAGCCUAUACAUGUAUUCCUGAUGCUAAAGUUUUGCAACUAGAUUGUACAUGUUUGAUUAAUGAAAUAACUUAAGCAUAAAAAAUGCCUGAUUGGGAAAUGUUGAUUUUUUUUUUUCCCCUGAAGCUAAAGUAGAGCUUAAAUUUUCAUGUUUGAGUGAACCCUAUCUGACA
This 1202-nucleotide unclassified non-coding RNA is filed under the name Hevea brasiliensis (rubber tree). Lineage: Eukaryota; Viridiplantae; Streptophyta; Magnoliopsida; Malpighiales; Euphorbiaceae. The record is from RNAcentral.